Molecule: ribosomal RNA, 776 nt
Filed under: uncultured Neocallimastigales
Lineage: Eukaryota; Fungi; Neocallimastigomycota; Neocallimastigomycetes; Neocallimastigales
Description: partial large subunit ribosomal RNA
Rfam family: Eukaryotic large subunit ribosomal RNA
Source: RNAcentral
GUACACGCUGUGACUAGCAUAUCAAUAAGCGGAGGAAAAGAAACUAACAAGGAUUCCCCUAGUAACGGCGAGUGAAGCGGGAAGAGCUCAAAUUUGAAAUCUUAAAGGGUUUCCCUUUACGAAUUGUAGUUUAAAGAAGUGUUUUCUGUUGAGGUAUUUGGUAAAAGUUCUUUGGAAUAGGACAUCAUAGAGGGUGAGAAUCCCGUAUUUGACCUUUACUUUCAACUUUGUGAUACACUUUCAAAGAGUCGGAUUGUUUGGGAAUGCAGUCCAAAAUGGGUGGUAAAUUUCAUCUAAAGCUAAAUAUUGGCGAGAGACCGAUAGCGAACAAGUACCGUGAGGGAAAGAUGAAAAGAACUUUGAAAAGAGAGUUAAACAGUACGUGAAAUUGUCAAAAGGGAAGCGUUUGACACCAGUGUUGUUUUUCUGAAAACUCAAUUAAAGAACUGUUUAUGCUAAGCUGUUUAGACUUUAUCAGCUAUCUGUUUAGUUUUGAGCUUUUCUUUAAUGCACUUUUCAGUUAACAAGUCAACAUCAAUUUCUUUUGCUGUAAAAAAGCUUGAGGAAGGUGGCUUGAGAUUCGUCUUAAGUGUUUAUAGCCUCUUGCCUAUGCAGUCGGAGAGAUUGAGGUCUGCAGCGUAGAUCCUUCGGGGCUAAAUGCAUUUGUGCUAAGUUAUAGCAUUUCAUAGACAACUUGUUGACUAUGAUUUGUCUUGUAGCUUACUCGCUUAUGUUAUUUUACCUACGCUUAGGAUGUUGACUGAUAUGUAGUCGUA